RNAcentral lists this unclassified non-coding RNA (333 nucleotides) under Zea mays. RNAcentral's name for it is "misc RNA Zm00001eb200240". Lineage: Eukaryota; Viridiplantae; Streptophyta; Magnoliopsida; Poales; Poaceae. The record is from RNAcentral.
GUCCUCCCCGAGCAGGCCCACGAGCUCGCCGCAGGUGUCCCUGAACAGGCUGCGUCGGGCACCGGGCAUCAGCAUCUCCGGCUUGACGAAGAGGAGGUACGCCAUGUAGUUGGACAUCUCCCUGCAACGGCGGGCGGUGGCGCUGGAGGGGGACGGGUCCUCCUGGAGGAGGUGGAAGCAGAAGUCGGUGGCGAGGUGCCAGACGAGGACGCUCUCGUCGAACGGCCUCGACACGCUCAUCAGUACCAUGGAUGGCACGCUGCUGUUGUUGAGAGUCCACUGUCCCCGGUAGUCGUUGAACGCCCGGAACGAGUCCGCGCCGGCUAUGUGACC